GACGAACGCUGGCGGCGUGCUCAACACAUGCCAGUCGAACGGAAAGGCCCUGCUUUUGUGGGGUGCUCGAGUGGCGAACGGGUGAGUAACACGUGAGUAACCUGCCCUUGACUUUGGGAUAACUUCAGGAAACUGGGGCUAAUACCGGAUAGGAGCUCCUGCUGCAUGGUGGGGGUUGGAAAGUUUCGGCGGUUGGGGAUGGACUCGCGGCUUAUCAGCUUGUUGGUGGGGUAGUGGCUUACCAAGGCUUUGACGGGUAGCCGGCCUGAGAGGGUGACCGGCCACAUUGGGACUGAGAUACGGCCCAGACUCCUACGGGAGGCAGCAGUGGGGAAUAUUGCACAAUGGGCGGAAGCCUGAUGCAGCAACGCCGCGUGCGGGAUGACGGCCUUCGGGUUGUAAACCGCUUUCGCCUGUGACGAAGCGUGAGUGACGGUAAUGGGUAAAGAAGCACCGGCUAACUACGUG
Molecule: ribosomal RNA, 468 nt
Filed under: uncultured bacterium
Lineage: Bacteria
Description: partial 16S ribosomal RNA
Rfam family: Bacterial small subunit ribosomal RNA
Source: RNAcentral